UACGGGGGGGGCAAGCGUUGUUCGGAAUUACUGGGCGUAAAGGGUUUGUAGGUGGCUCGCUAAGUCAGACGUGAAAUCCCUCAGCUUAACUGGGGAACUGCGUCUGAGACUGGUGAGCUUGAGUGCAGGAGAGGAACGCGGAAUUCCAGGUGUAGCGGUGAAAUGCGUAGAUAUCUGGAGGAACACCGGUGGCGAAGGCGGCGUUCUGGACUGCAACUGACACUGAUGAACGAAAGCCAGGGGAGCAAACGGG
RNAcentral lists this ribosomal RNA (253 nucleotides) under uncultured bacterium. RNAcentral describes it as "partial 16S ribosomal RNA". It matches the Rfam family "Bacterial small subunit ribosomal RNA", at positions 524 to 776 of the family's 1533-position model. The record is from RNAcentral.